This 380-nucleotide ribosomal RNA is filed under the name uncultured eukaryote. RNAcentral's name for it is "partial 18S ribosomal RNA". It matches the Rfam family "Eukaryotic small subunit ribosomal RNA", at positions 592 to 976 of the family's 1831-position model. The record is from RNAcentral.
CAAUAGCGUAUAUUAAAGUUGUUGCGGUUAAAAAGCUCGUAGUUGGAUUUCUGUUGGGAACGACCGGUCCGCCCAUUGGGUGUGUAUCUGGCUUGUUCUCGGCAUCUUCUUGGUGAACGUUGCUGCACUUGACUGUGUGGAGCGCUACCCAGGACUUUUACUUUGAGGAAAUUAGAGUGUUUCAAGCAGGCAUAUGCCUUGAAUACAUUAGCAUGGAAUAAUAAGAUAGGACCUCGGUUCUAUUUUGUUGGUUUCUAGAGCUGAGGUAAUGAUUAAUAGGGAUAGUUGGGGGCAUUCGUAUUUAACUGUCAGAGGUGAAAUUCUUUGAUUUGUUAAAGACGGACUACUGCGAAAGCAUUUGCCAAGGAUGUUUUCAUUGA